This 475-nucleotide ribosomal RNA is filed under the name uncultured bacterium. Its description in RNAcentral is "bacterial SSU rRNA". It matches the Rfam family "Bacterial small subunit ribosomal RNA", at positions 8 to 526 of the family's 1533-position model. The record is from RNAcentral.
AGAGUUUGAUCCUGGCUCAGGAUGAACGCUGGCGGUAUGCUUAACACAUGCAAGUCGAACGGAGUGCUUCGGCACUUAGUGGCGGACGGGUGAGUAACGCGUGAGAAUCUGGCUUCAGGACGGGGACAACAGUGGGAAACUGCUGCUAACACCCGAUAUGCCGAGAGGUGAAAGUAUUUAUAGCCUGAAGAUGAGCUCGCGUCUGAUUAGCUAGUUGGUGGGGUAAAGGCCUACCAAGGCGACGAUCAGUAGCUGGUCUGAGAGGAUGAUCAGCCACACUGGGACUGAGACACGGCCCAGACUCCUACGGGAGGCAGCAGUGGGGAAUUUUCCGCAAUGGGGGCAACCCUGACGGAGCAAUACCGCGUGAGGGAUGAAGGCUUUUGGGUUGUAAACCUCUUUUCUCAGGGAAGAACACUGACGGUACCUGAGGAAUCAGCAUCGGCUAACUCCGUGCCAGCCGCCGCGGUAAUUC